GAUGAACGCUGGCGGCGUGCCUAAUACAUGCAAGUCGAGCGAACGGACGAGAAGCUUGCUUCUCUGAUGUUAGCGGCGGACGGGUGAGUAACACGUGGAUAACCUACCUAUAAGACUGGGAUAAUUUCGGGAAACCGGAGCUAAUACCGGAUAAUAUUUUGAACCGCAUGGUUCAAAAGUGAAAGACGGUCUUGCUGUCACUUAUAGAUGGAUCCGCGCUGCAUUAGCUAGUUGGUAAGGUAACGGCUUACCAAGGCAACGAUGCAUAGCCGACCUGAGAGGGUGAUCGGCCACACUGGAACUGAGACACGGUCCAGACUCCUACGGGAGGCAGCAGUAGGGAAUCUUCCGCAAUGGGCGAAAGCCUGACGGAGCAACGCCGCGUGAGUGAUGAAGGUCUUCGGAUCGUAAAACUCUGUUAUUGGGGAAGAACAUAUGUGUAAGUAACUGUGCACAUCUUGACGGUACCUAAUCAGAAAGCCACGGCUAACUACGUG
RNAcentral lists this ribosomal RNA (497 nucleotides) under uncultured bacterium. Its description in RNAcentral is "partial 16S ribosomal RNA". It matches the Rfam family "Bacterial small subunit ribosomal RNA", at positions 28 to 507 of the family's 1533-position model. The record is from RNAcentral.